CCUACGGGAGGCAGCAGUGGGGAAUAUUGGACAAUGGGCGAAAGCCUGAUCCAGCAAUGCCGCGUGAGUGAUGAAGGCCUUAGGGUUGUAAAGCUCUUUUACCAGGGAUGAUAAUGACAGUACCUGGAGAAUAAGCUCCGGCUAACUCCGUGCCGGCAGCCGCGGUAAUACGGAGGGAGCUAGCGUUGUUCGGAAUUACUGGGCGUAAAGCGUACGUAGGCGGUUAUUCAAGUCAGAGGUGAAAGCCUGGAGCUCAACUCCAGAACUGCCUUUGAAACUAGAUAGCUAGAAUCUUGGAGAGGUGAGUGGAAUUCCGAGUGUAGAGGUGAAAUUCGUAGAUAUUCGGAAGAACACCAGUGGCGAAGGCGACUCACUGGACAAGUAUUGACGCUGAGGUACGAAAGCGUGGGGAGCAAACAGGAUUAGAUACCCUGGUAGUCCACGCCGUAAACGAUGAUAACUAGCUGUUCGGGCUCUACGGAGUCUUGAGUGGCGACGAGUCUAACGCUAAUUAAGUUACUCCGCCGUAGGGGAGUUACGGUCGACGAAGUAAUUAAAACUACGAAAAGUAGUAAGUUGACGAGAGAGACGACGACGACGACGACGAGGAGGAGAG
Molecule: ribosomal RNA, 616 nt
Filed under: uncultured bacterium
Lineage: Bacteria
Description: bacterial SSU rRNA
Rfam family: Bacterial small subunit ribosomal RNA (bases 1-526)
Source: RNAcentral